GUUAAGGCAUUAGUGCAUUGUUGCAUUGAGGCAUUGUGGGUUCUCCUAUGAGUCACUGUUUGAGCCGCUGGUUCUCCUGGAGAAGCUUUGGUCCUCACAUCCGGAAUUGCUUCCUGGCUCCAGAAGGGAAGACAUGUGUGCUUGGUCUCCAGGAUGAACUCGACAUGCUGGCUUCCUAGCAUGUGCCCGACUGUGCUUUCAGAGGAGGAGCUCAGGGCCUCUGUGUUGCUGAGGAUGGCUGUGGUGCUUUUCAGGACAAUCCUCGUCUUUGUUGUAAGUGUGACUUCUGGGCUCCAGCACAGAACCCUCAUCACCAGCACAGCUCCUUCAACCCGCUGCAUGGACUUUCUGGCUUCUACUGCUGACCUUUGGGCCUGCUCAGCACGGAUCCGUAAAAGAGAUUGGUGCAUCCAUUUCUCUACAAAUGUCUUAAAAGUGUCCGUCUUUGUACCCAAAUAGUAUAUCAUUGUGUGUAACUACAGCUGCUUUAUUUUACUGGCCUCAUGCGUUUGCAUUGUGCAUUUGUGAUGGUUCAUUGUCUAGUCCUUGGAUUGAUGGUGUCAGUGCUACAUUCACAAAGCGAUGGAGCAAGGAUGUGAUGUAAUCGCAGGAAGAAGGUAAACUCAACAAAGAAAACAAAAUUGUGCAUAAGGUGGAACUUCUGGGGGCCACGUUCAACUACUGAUAAUUUAAGCAUGGAAAACAAAGCUGUAGAUUAUGUGGAAGUACUACAAAUGCAAGGAUAACAUUCCAAGGCCUCAACAACAACUCUGACUGAACCAAAGUAUUACAAAGUAUUAAUAUACUUGUAGAUGCUUCAAAGAAAAUGGACUCUAGGUUGAAGAUUAUAAAGUCAAAAUUGGAACUAUAAUUAGAAUUAUUCAUCUCUAUGUGUUCUUCCUCUUUUUGUCUCCAUAUUUUGUUCCCAGGGGAAGUUGUAUUCCAUGACACUUUCUGGUGCGUCUGGUGGAGUGGCUUACUUCACCCUAAGCAGCUCUCUGCCUCCAAACAAACCCACAGUGCGCACAAGUCAUGUGCAGUGAUGUUACAUUGCUUGCAUAGAAGAGAAGGUGUGAACACCAGAGGAAAAGGCAGGAUUUGGAGUGACUGAGUUGGGGAAGGCUGAAUAGGUUACUGUGUUAAUCCUUCUAUAAUAAUUUUAAAACAUAUCCCAGUGAUGAUUUUACCAUUUCUGUCUUAAUAUUUUGACUGUAACCAAAACUGAUAUUAUCCAUUACUGUGUCUGCAAACUUGUAUUAAUAUUUUUACAUUAUUUUAUUUUGGUACAUUCUUGUCAGACAUAGUGGUAACAUUCACUUUGUGGAAUUUGGACCUUGCGUAAUAUAUAUUGAUUUUUCUUUUUCCCCACUCUUCCCAUUAGGCCACCUCCAUCUCCUUAUUUAACAAGCUUUGUUUCCUUUUUUUCCUUUAGCUCUGUUUCUUAAAAUCGUGUCCUUUCUUUACUGCCCUAGCCUCUUUUGUCCCUCUUCUCAUUUGAGCAUUUUCUUUCUACUUCUCAAUAGAUAUUAUGUAUUUUGUUUCUAUUUACACUUUUGGUUCCUCACACUAGAGAAACACGCAAUAUUUACACAGAGCUUCCCGACCCAAAUUUAAAGAUCCAGUCCAAAACUGAGCAUCUGAAAUGAACAGACUCUUCUGAGAUCAAGAAGUACAAAAGGCAAAUAAAUAUAUGGAAAGAAAAGUUCAACAUCACUUUUCAUGAGGGAUGCAAAUUAAGACAAUGCUAAGAUUCCAUCUCCAGGAAAAAAUGUUGGAAUCAAGAAAUCAACCAAUAAAAAAAUGUUGGUGGGGCUGUGGGGAAAAAAGGAACACCUUUCCACUGUUUCUGGGAGUGGAAACUGGGGCAAUAACUGUGAAAAUAAGUGUGGAGAUUCCUCAAAAAAUUACAACUAGAGGUUCCAUUUGACCUAACUGUUGUCCUUCUUGGUAUAGUCCUAAAAGAAUAAAAAGCAUCAUACCACAGCAAUUUUUGCAUCACUGUGUUUAUAGGUUCACAAUCUGUAAUAGCAGUAUCUUGGAAAUAGCCCAAAUGCCCAUCAACAGAUGGAGGGAUAAAGAAGAUGUGUUUUUUUUUUUUUUUUUAAAUGCAUCAGAGUACUACUCUGCCAUGAAAAGAUAAGCUUGAGGCAUUUCUAGGUAAAUGGCUCUACCUUGAAACAAUACUCUAACUAAAAUAAAAAUAAUUGUAACUGAUACAUAAAAAAUUUACACAUUAAUGCGUAACAUAUUUUCAAUAAGUGGAACUUAUCCAAUUUUUAAAUCAGAACAAUCAAAUCAGUAUCCUAGAACAUUUAUUACUUUUAAGAUAAAAUCUUUGAAAUUCCAUUCUAGUUUCUGAAAUGUACAGCAUAUUAUUAUAGUUAAUACUACUGUGUAACAGCACUUCAAAAUUUCAGUCCCAUAUUUAACUGUAACUACUCACUCCAUUUUCC
Molecule: long non-coding RNA, 2453 nt
Organism: Cavia porcellus (domestic guinea pig)
Lineage: Eukaryota; Metazoa; Chordata; Mammalia; Rodentia; Caviidae
Exons: 4
Source: RefSeq, a predicted model, not a curated record